RNAcentral lists this ribosomal RNA (502 nucleotides) under uncultured Enterococcus sp. Its description in RNAcentral is "partial 16S ribosomal RNA". Lineage: Bacteria; Bacillati; Bacillota; Bacilli; Lactobacillales; Enterococcaceae. The record is from RNAcentral.
CACGUGGUUAGCCGUGGCUUUCUGGUUAGAUACCGUCAGGGGACGUUCAGUUACUAACGUCCUUGUUCUUCUCUAACAACAGAGUUUUACGAUCCGAAAACCUUCUUCACUCACGCGGCGUUGCUCGGUCAGACUUUCGUCCAUUGCCGAAGAUUCCCUACUGCUGCCUCCCGUAGGAGUCUGGGCCGUGUCUCAGUCCCAGUGUGGCCGAUCACCCUCUCAGGUCGGCUAUGCAUCGUGGCCUUGGUGAGCCGUUACCUCACCAACUAGCUAAUGCACCGCGGGUCCAUCCAUCAGCGACACCCGAAAGCGCCUUUCACUCUUAUGCCAUGCGGCAUAAACUGUUAUGCGGUAUUAGCACCUGUUUCCAAGUGUUAUCCCCCUCUGAUGGGUAGGUUACCCACGUGUUACUCACCCGUCCGCCACUCCUCUUUCCAAUUGAGUGCAAGCACUCGGGAGAAAGAGCGUUCGACUUGCAUGUAUUAGGCACGCCGCCAGCGUC